GAUGAAGAACGUAGCGAAAUGCGAUAAGUAGUGUGAAUUGCAGAAUUCAGUGAAUCAUCGAAUCUUUGAACGCACAUUGCGCCCUUUGGUAUUCCUUAGGGCAUGCCUGUUCGAGCGUCAUUUAAACCUUCAAGCUAAGCUUGGUGUUGGGUGACUGUCCGCUUCACGGCGGACUCGCCUCAAAAUUAUUGGCGGCCGGUACAUUGGCUUCGAGCGCAGCAGAAACGCGAACUCGGGCCCGUCGUGUUGGCUCCCAGAAGCUAUCUUCACAAUUUUGACCUCGGAUCAGGUAGGGAUACCCGCUGAACUUAAGCAUAUCAAUAAGCGGAGGA
Molecule: unclassified non-coding RNA, 332 nt
Filed under: soil metagenome
Description: partial contains 5.8S ribosomal RNA, internal transcribed spacer 2, and large subunit ribosomal RNA
Rfam family: 5.8S ribosomal RNA (bases 1-120)
Source: RNAcentral